This 274-nucleotide ribosomal RNA is filed under the name uncultured bacterium. RNAcentral's name for it is "partial 16S ribosomal RNA". It matches the Rfam family "Archaeal small subunit ribosomal RNA", at positions 473 to 747 of the family's 1478-position model. The record is from RNAcentral.
AAACCAGCACCUCAAGUGGUCAGGAGGAUUAUUGGGCCUAAAGCAUCCGUAGCCUGUUCUGUAAGUUUUCGGUUAAAUCUGUACGCUCAACGUACAGGCUGCCGGGAAUACUGCAGAGCUAGGGAGUGGGAGAGGUAGACGGUACUUGGUAGGAAGGGGUAAAAUCCUUUGAUCUACUGAUGACCACCUGUGGCGAAGGCGGUCUACCAGAACACGUCCGACGGUGAGGGAUGAAAGCUGGGGGAGCAAACCGGAUUAGAAACCCCAGUAGUCC